RNAcentral lists this ribosomal RNA (510 nucleotides) under uncultured bacterium. RNAcentral describes it as "partial 16S ribosomal RNA". It matches the Rfam family "Bacterial small subunit ribosomal RNA", at positions 28 to 507 of the family's 1533-position model. The record is from RNAcentral.
GACGAACGCUGGCGGCGUGCUUAACACAUGCAAGUCGAACGAAGAGCGAUGGAAGCUUGCUUCUAUCAAUCUUAGUGGCGAACGGGUGAGUAACGCGUAAUCAACCUACCCUUCAGAGGGGGACAACAGUUGGAAACGACUGCUAAUACCGCAUACGAUCUAAUCUCGGCAUCGAGGAAAGAUGAAAGGUGGCCUCUAUUUAUAAGCUAUCACUGAAGGAGGGGAUUGCGUCUGAUUAGCUAGUUGGAGGGGUAACGGCCCACCAAGGCGAUGAUCAGUAGCCGGUCUGAGAGGAUGAACGGCCACAUUGGGACUGAGACACGGCCCAGACUCCUACGGGAGGCAGCAGUGGGGAAUCUUCCGCAAUGGACGAAAGUCUGACGGAGCAACGCCGCGUGAGUGAUGACGGCCUUCGGGUUGUAAAGCUCUGUUAAUCGGGACGAAAGGCCUUCUUGCGAACAGUUAGAAGGAUUGACGGUACCGGAAUAGAAAGCCACGGCUAACUACGUG